RNAcentral lists this ribosomal RNA (253 nucleotides) under uncultured bacterium. Its description in RNAcentral is "partial 16S ribosomal RNA". It matches the Rfam family "Bacterial small subunit ribosomal RNA", at positions 524 to 776 of the family's 1533-position model. The record is from RNAcentral.
UACGGAGGGGGCAAGCGUUAUUCGGAAUUAUUGGGCGUAAAGGGCGCGUAGGCGGCUAGAUGUGUCAAAGGUGAAAUCCCUCGGCUCAACUGAGGAACUGCCUUUGAAACUGUCUGGCUUGAGGCCGGGAGAGGGUAGCGGAAUUCCCAGUGUAGCGGUGAAAUGCGUAGAUAUUGGGAGGAAUACCAGUGGCGAAGGCGGCUACCUGGACCGGUUCUGACGCUGAGGCGCGAAAGCGUGGGUAGCAAACAGG